This 487-nucleotide ribosomal RNA is filed under the name uncultured bacterium. RNAcentral's name for it is "bacterial SSU rRNA". It matches the Rfam family "Bacterial small subunit ribosomal RNA", at positions 19 to 518 of the family's 1533-position model. The record is from RNAcentral.
AUGGCUCAGGAUGAACGCUGGCGGCGUGCUUAACACAUGCAAGUCGAACGGAGCCUAUCGAGUGCUGCACUGAGAAAGCUAGUGGCGGACGGGUGAGUAACGCGUGGGUAACCUGCCCUGUACCGGGGGAUAACAGUUGGAAACGGCUGCUAAUACCGCAUAAGCCCACAGCACCGGAUGGUGCAGGGGGAAAAAACUCCGGUGGUACAGGAUGGACCCGCGUCUGAUUAGCUAGUUGGUGAGGUAACGGCCCACCAAGGCGACGAUCAGUAGCCGGCCUGAGAGGGUGAACGGCCACAUUGGGACUGAGACACGGCCCAAACUCCUACGGGAGGCAGCAGUGGGGAAUAUUGCACAAUGGGGGAAACCCUGAUGCAGCGACGCCGCGUGAGUGAUGAAGUAUUUCGGUAUGUAAAACUCUAUCAGCAGGGAAGAAAAUGACGGUACCUGACUAAGAAGCACCGGCUAAAUACGUGCCAGCCGCAGC